GCCCUUUUGUGCUGCAGGUUAAAGCAUAAAGCACCCCGCCUGGGGAGUACGGCCGCAAGGCUAAAACUCAAAAGGAAUUGACGGGGGCCCGCACAAGCGGCGGAGCAUGUGGAUUAAUUCGAUGCAACGCGAAGAACCUUACCUGGGCUUGACAUGGACUAGAAAGCUCUAGAGAUAGAGCCUCCCUUGUGGCUGGUUCACAGGUGGUGCAUGGCUGUCGUCAGCUCGUGUCGUGAGAUGUUGGGUUAAGUCCCGCAACGAGCGCAACCCUCGUUCCAUGUUGCCAGCACGUAAUGGUGGGGACUUCAGGGAGACUGCCGGGGUCAACUCGGAGGAAGGUGGGGAUGACGUCAAGUCAUCAUGCCCCUUAUGUCCAGGGCUUCACACAUGCUACAAUGGCCGGUACAAAGGGCUGCUAAGCCGUGAGGUGGAGCGAAUCCCAUAAAGCCGGUCUCAGUUCGGAUCGGGGUCUGCAACUCGACCCCGUGAAGUCGGAGUCGCUAGUAAUCGCAGAUCAGCAACGCUGCGGUGAAUACGUUCCCGGGCCUUGUACACACCGCCCGUCACGUCACGAAAGUCGGUAACACCCGAAGCCCGUGGCUCAACCCGCAAGGGGGAGAGCGGUCGAAGGUGGGACUGGCGAUGGACGAAGUCGAACA
RNAcentral lists this ribosomal RNA (659 nucleotides) under Lentzea albidocapillata. Its description in RNAcentral is "bacterial SSU rRNA". It matches the Rfam family "Bacterial small subunit ribosomal RNA", at positions 835 to 1493 of the family's 1533-position model. Lineage: Bacteria; Bacillati; Actinomycetota; Actinomycetes; Pseudonocardiales; Pseudonocardiaceae. The record is from RNAcentral.